UCUACAAGGCCUGGCUGUGCUCCGAGUAUUUCAACGUGACACAACAACAGUGCCGACACCGGAUCCCAUGCAAGCAAUACUGCCUGGAGGUGCAGACCAGGUGCCCAUUUGUGUUGCCGGACAAUGACGAGCUGAUCUAUGGAGGUUUGCCUGGCUUCAUCUGUACGGGGUUGCUAGAGAACCAGCUGCCCGACGAGGAGGCCAAGUGCUGCGAAGUGCAAUGGGACUCCUGUGACCGCCCACCAGACAGCAACUACAACACAUCCCCCAAAUCCACAGCGUCGGAGUCACUCCAUUACCACCGCCACGACCCUCACCUCCAUCACCAGCGGCAGAACCACUAUCACCUCUACCACCACCACCACUACCACCACCAGUACCGCCAGCCCCACCCGCCAUCUCUGCUGCCCGUCUCCGCAGGGUCUCGCCUCGGCAACAGCAGACUCAAACUGUGCAUCCUGGUCCUAAUGCUUCUCCACACCAUGGUGUCCUUCUCGAGUGUGCACAGCAGCAGCGGGGCGGCCGGUGGAGGGCUGAGCUUGGAGGCCCUGCCCGCCGUGGAUGAGAGCGUAACGCGAGACGAGUGACACGGAGGGGAAAGGAGGUCUCCAAGAAGAAUGCCAGAUCUUUUUCCACUAAGGGGGGCACAUGCUAUUCCUCCAAUGGGAGGCACGGGAUUGGGGGUGACGCACACAUACACACCCCCACACAUACCCCCAAGAGCUGCUCGCCGCGGGGCAUCCCCGUGAUGAAGAGUCUCUAAUGCGCACAGGGCUGCGGGACUCGGCUUUGAGAAGGGUUCGGUCAGAAGCAGCCCGGCAGCUCCGCACGUCCAGCCUCGUAGAGGUGCUGGGCACCGGCGCGAGAAGGUACAGCAAAGGGGCAGGGAGAACGGAGGGGGUCCCUUCGCAAGAGGUCUCCCCGAUGGGAUUGCCGCAGAUCUCCCAGCUGCCUGCCAGGGGUGCCAUGUGGCACCCACCUUACCUGCCACCUAAAUGCCAAGAGUUUAAAAAUCAGCCUAACCCCAAUUUCUUUCCUCCUCUGUGUCUAAAGCCCAGCACCCUGCAUUCGCCAGUUGCCAGGCAGGGCGCGGAAGCAGCACCUCUCUCCAAAUCCUUGCCUCUCUCCUAUCUGGGGGAAAAAAAAAAAAGGCAACUCAAAGGCAGUCCCUGUCUUUCGUGGAAGAGUGCAGAUCCUUCAGCAUGGCAUUCCUGACCAGACAGCCCGGCCCAGGCUUAUGCUUUUGCUGAGAGGAGUUGUGGUAUAGGAAUGGGAAAGUGUUAUGCUACGCUCUCUGUCCUGCGCAGGGUUCGUCUCGGUCAGGUCUUUACCUCCUUCCUCCAGCUUGGCUCUCCCACUCUUCUCUGGUACAGGGAGGUGGAGAGGGAGAGAGGAUGGGGUGGAGCAGGCAAAGAUGUUCCCAGGGUUCCUGAUGUUCCACUUUGCAAUGUAGCCUGAUGAUUUCCUUUAACCCUUUUUGUUUUCUUUUUUGCUGUCUUUCCUCAUGGGAAGGGUUUGUCUCAGAGGAGUUAGGGAGAUGUGACUCUAGUGGUGCACAGGCUAAGCUGAGGGAGACUUCAAGUUUGUAGCUGGCUCAAGAAUAAUAACAAUUGGAUAAAAGGCUUCAAAAGGCAUCUUUCCAUGCUUCUUGGCUACAAUUCAUGUAGGAGAUGGCAUAAGGACUGAGCAGAAGGACUGGAGAAAUCCAGCUUGUGAUCUAGUGUCUCCCACACAGAGAACAGGCGAUAAUGAACCCCAGCUGGAGAGGAGAGUAUUUAUGAGUACUUUUUAUCAAGAGCUACUUCCCUGAUCAAAAAAUUUAUAGGAGUCCUGCUGAGACAGCUGGACUCAGAUGGGCAAGGUGCUGUCUGGUGCAGCCUAAAUUGACUCACUUUUUUUGAGCUCAGUUUAUCCAGAUAUUCAGCCUCAAACAGGUAUGAGAUCCCGACUCUAAUAUGGGACUUCCAAAUCCUCCAUCCACCCACUAGGAACUAUACUCAGAAUAAAUGUUGGAAGGUGGCGUGUGGGAUACUUCACUGUGCAUCCUGCUGCGGACAGGUAAUCUUCUCGUGGGGCCUGUUUUCAAGGCUGUUUCUCUCAGUUGCUCGUUAUUGUACUGUGCCAAGUUGGUACAAUCUAGCAAGAAUGAAUGAUACUGUGAGAGGCCAGGAUGGAAACAGGAAAAUGAACUAAACUGGGAAUGAAGAAAGAACUGAGGAUCAGAUAUUAGAGAAAAGAAAGUUCAUUCUGGAUAUGGGGUGAGGGAAAAGAUGAAUAUGUGUUUUAACCCUGUGGUAGUGGUGUGAGGUGAGGUACAUGGAGAUGGGGAAGCAGGUUGCAGUCAGCUGCAAAAUGUCUAAAUCACAGUAUGGAUGUAAACCUGGUCAUUUCCUGUAGAGGAGAAAGUGUGACUCUUCUUCUACUUCUAGACUGCCUCUUCACAGAUCCCCUACAGCAGAGCACAGAUUGGCCUUUUUGUGGUCCUGCUGGUAGGCAGGGGCCAAGCAAAGAGGAAUAUUUUGCUGCAUCUCAAACCAAUCCCAGAUCCCUGUGAGGGUCAAAAAAGUCGCAAAGUUCAGGACUGAAAAUGUUUCGUGUUUUCUGGUCUGUUGAGGUGAAGCAAAAAUGAGCAAAGCACCAUGAGAAAAGCUACUUCCUACCUGGCUGGAAGGGAAGUACCAGGACUCUCAUGGGGAAGACUGGUUUCCUGAAACUUCCAGCCCAUUUCCAGACCAAAGAUGCUCUGAAAAGCAGCUGAAUGUUUGACUUCUGCUUUGACUUGAAUCUCAGAGCUUUGGGGUGAUGUUUACACGUUAUCAGUUACAUGUUACCAAAGUCCUGCCAAUACAAAGCCUGUGAACUCAUUGUCCAUUGGUCAUCAGGCACUAUGUGGUAAGGUUAAUAUAACUAGUUUUCAGAGAAGAUGCAGAGAGUGUUUCCCAAGCAGAUUUUAUUGCUGUUCCUAACUGGAACAGGUAGGACUGUUCUUGUUUGAAUAUUCAUAACAGCAUCCAUAUAUUUUCGGUCUAGUUUACACAGAUCUGAGAACCAGUACAUGCAACAGUUUAGCAAAUAGGAAUCUGACUUUUUUUGUUUGCUCUGUUGCUAAAGUGUAGCUGCUUUGAUGAGUAGCAAAAGCAUACAGCUAGACCAAAGGAGGUAGCACAGUCAUGUUCCUGUCUCAAGACAACCAGAUCCAGUCCAUUCUUAAGGAAAUUGGAUUUUUCAUGUACUGCCAAGAGUUAAGCUGAUUCCAGGCAUCAGAGAUAGGCUGAAUCCAAUCUUUAAGCAACUCAUGUAGAGAGAGAGGAAUAGCCCAGUGUGAUGCGUCAGCAAGUGGCCCUGAGUCACUGGCCCUGUUCAUUGUCUGCUGUGGAGUCUGCUCCGAUGAGACAGCGCAGGACCCAGAACCUGCUCUGCCGCAGGUAGCAUGGCACUGUGGCCUCUCUGUUUUGCCCCACGUGUGUGCAAGCCAUAUCAUAUGAAUCCUGUAAGUGCGAAUCUGAGCCUUGAGGGGCAAGAGUCAUUGUGUCCACCCUGAAGCUCUCUUGCGCUGCCAGAGACCAGAGCAAUGUACACAUGUAUUAGCAUAAAUAAGAGUCUGGACUUGUAUGGUCUCCUAUGACACUGAAUGUGAUGGCACAAGGAGUUUCUGUGCCAGCAUAUGUACUAUGUGAUGUCAAGAGAUGAAUGAAUGCUGCAGAGCUUGAAGGAAUGAAGUCAAAUAACCCAGGCGUGUGCACCAAAAGGAGCUCAGGAAGGUUGGCCUAGUUUUGCUGGAAUAACCUGAGAGCUAUGAGAAAUGUCUUUACCAUACCUAAUAUCAGAUGAUGAGCUUCAUCUCAGGAGGCAGGGAUCCCUCACUACAUCCCAGUGAAUGAUCUGAAAGCUGAACAGUUCCAAAGAUUGGGUCUUUAGUAUAAUUACUGAGACGGUGUGGUUGCAUCAGCCUAAUCAGCUGAACACGAUACAGGUACACAGUACACAAGGAAGCUUUGCAGGGCAGUUCUACUCUAACUAAAGGAGAUCCAAACGUUUUCCAAGCUGCAGCUUUCCACAAGGUACACACAUAAGAAUCACUCACUGUAUCAGUGUGAAGGGCACCCUGUCUCCUGGCACAGAGGGUAAUGCGAAUGCGCACGGUAUGGAGGCUCGCUGGCAGACACAGGCCUGUGUUUUUUACCUAGUGUGACUGGGAGGAAAGUGCUGAGUCUUCACAGAGCAAGGGUUUUGGAAGGAGCUCUUUUAUUUAGCAAGUCUAGGCUGCUGUCAAUAAGUUCUGUGGUUUUAGGGCACCAUAUGCUGUAUUCAACACUUUGCCAAUCUAGUUAAAUGAAUCCAGACUAAGCUGUUCACAGAAUAGGACUGAGCAGCUGGAAGCGGUGUAUGUUGCAGUCCGUCAUUAAAAGGCCAUCGGAUAAAAAUCUUCUCUCUGAUCUGACAUUACAACCUUAAUAAUCUUCUAUUUAUAUUAGCUCCUCUUUGCUGUACAAGGGAAAAGUCCAGAAAGGAGACUUUAACAUGGUCUCAGUUAAUAUCAUUGACAUUAUUUUUAUUAAAACAAUGCUGCUGUUAGCCCUGGAGUGAAUUAGCCCCUGGGAUAAGGAGAGAAAAGAGAGCAUGUUUGCACAGUGCAUGCAGGUACACUUCCCAAUCCACUCCCCAUCGCGCCCCCAGUGCAAACGUGGACACCAGAACCUGGAGCCCUUUCUAGAGCAGCUCUUGGUGCAGCCACCUGGGACCUUGGAAAAUACCAAGCCCAAAAGGAUUUAUUCCACAGCGAUAACCUAAAGCCCAGCUGCUGAUUCCUUUCUUUUUCAGUUGAAUGAUCUGGAUUCUUCUCCCCAGAGAAAGACGCCAUGCAUAAAGAUUGGUUUGUAAAAUCAAAAGUUCCCUUUACUGACUAGAUUUCUCCUCACUGAGAGAAAACCCCCCUUCCCAGAGCAGUGUUUCCUCACGGUCCUUCUGGAGCAAGCAGACCCUGGGCGGCGUGUCCAAGGAGUGGGGGGAGCUGGUAGAGAUGGUGCUGGCUUUGAUGCUGUCACCUUGCAGCAGAUCACAAGCCCCUUUGCUGGGCGCGUUCCCGUUGCUUGGCCGUCGUGCCGUUGGCCGGGUUGCUAGUUGUAUGCGAGAGGAGGCAGCCACAGCUGCAUCCGCGGGGAAUCCAGGCCUCGGCUCUGCCGCUAAAGCUGCGAGAGGAAAGGUAGCCAUGUUCUGCCUGGAGUGUUAGUCUUGUGUUUUGCACUUUAGUGUUACGGCCAGUUGUACAAAUUAAUGAAAAAUAACUGAAGAAAAAUCCCAAAGAAAGGCCCUGCUUCCUCUGGUGAAGAUUAAUCAUUAGUUGAGCCUUUUUCUUAUGAAAAUAGAGAUCCAUGCUAGCCCCAGGCAAAAGAUUCCCAGGGAGAGCCCUCACCAUUCGUGCUCUGAGUUAGGGAAAUCACUUUGAAAGCAUCUGACAGCUAAAGCAGAACAUGUUGAGUAACUUGGCAACACUCAGAAAACAUCUUGAAAUGGUUUUUGUUCAACACAUUUUGCUCUGCUUCAAUAGGAGAUGUCAGGGCAGUUCAUUCACUGCCACUCAGGACUCCAGGCAUUGCUGGGAGACAGUUCAUUUGCCCCACGUUUUUUUUUUUGGGGGGGGGAGGGAGGAGGGGAGAAAGCAAGAAAAUUUGAUAUCUGCUAAUCCCAAGGAAGGAUCCCCAUCAGCAGUGUGAUAGCACUUCCCAAAUUUUGUAUGCGUCUUCUGACAAGCAUGGUCUACUUGUGCUGCAUUUGAAUUGGAGAUUGGUGAUUUACAGCAAAGGAGUGUGGCUGUUGGUGGAAUACUGUAUCGUGAAUCCUACUGGGAGUGGUCACUAGUUUGUGUUCAGACUUUUCCUUUAAGUCUCUACCCUCAAAAAGUCAUGCAGCAGCUUGUAAUAAAUUAUAAUAUGAUACCUAGCUACCACCCUGGAAAGGAAUGCAUAUAGAAAUUAAUAGAGACAAAUUCAGGGGAGUUGUACAGAAAUAUACUCAGAUUUUUUGGAAAUCACUAUAAAAAUCUAAGCAAUAUGUCAGACAAUUUUUUAUAGCCUUUUUGGGCUGCCUUGUGGAUUUCUGUCCACAGGAGUAUAAAUCUCUAUUAAGUCAUAUUUGAAAGGUUAGGGAGGGCAAUUUCUAAUGUUUAGCCAAGAUGUUAAUAACAACUUACUUUAGCCUAUCAAACAAAGUCAGUUCUUAAGCAUUCCAGUGGGAUAAUAGAGGUACCUAAAUUACUCAAACCCGUGAUUACCCGUUCUCCCCCUCAGGCAAACUUUUGAGUAGAGCUCCCAGGCAGUGGCAGGUCUGUAGGAGCUCUGAAAGGUCCAUCUUUUCCCAGGCUCAAGAAUUGGUUAUUCUGUAUUUCAGGGGAGCAGCUUUUUAGCAGCUCUUUUUGUUCUCAGUCCUAUGUGGCUCUCUGGAUGAAUAUUUUCAUUCCUGUACUCUGCUGGAGGAUGGAGGUAGAGGAAGGCAGGAACGCUGCUUGCCGUUACGGUUAGAAACACUGUGAAGUUCAGCUGUGCAGGCCUGUAUGCUGAUGGCCUGUAACAGUAGUGGAGAUUUGUUUAGUGAAGAGUUGUUAUUUAAAGGCUUAAUAUUGGGAAUGGGUAUUAAAGUGCGAAAGGGGUGACUGGAAGCUCUGUAGCCACGUAGAGGAUGCUGUGUGGCUGCACUCUGAUGGACUUUGUGUCACAGUGCAAGAAGCAGCCACAGGUUUUGUAGCUGUCCACCAAAGCAGCGGUGUCGCUGCAAGCUCUCUCCAUUCACUCACCCCACGAUCAUCCUGCUCUAUUUGUACCCUGAGCAGGAGUGAAGAAUCAGGACCUGAAUGCUGAAAAUUCAGGCAUUUUAUACCAUUCCUACAGCUCCAAACCACAAGUCCCACCGAGAGGCAGUGGCCUCUCUAAACGUGUAGCUGAUGUAGCCAGCACUGACCCUGCUAUCCCAAGGCUGAAUGAAAAGGAGAGGCCUUCAAAACCUGGAAUUGCUCUGCCAUCUGAGGGCUUGCUACUGGCUGAGUCUCAGGUGCAUCUGACCACACUUGCUCUGGCCUUUUGAAGUUUGGAUUUUGUAGGCUAUGUAGCUGUCUCCUCCCAGCGCAGGUUGUCACGUCACUACCGGACACCGGUCUUGUUGGGUGGGGAGUGCUGGACAUAAGUGAAGGAGAAGUUUCACUGCUGAGCCAGAUCACACAGCGCUGCACUGAGACCCUGCGAGGCAGGUCACAGGCCUUCAAGAUGUCGCUGGAUUAGAUCUGGCGCAGUUCUCAAAGGGACCUUCAGCUCUGCUCUUCCGAGCUCCCUUCUGGGAUGAAGGGAGCACAGGAAAUAUUGUGGCCAUAUGUGAAGGAUAAAUCAUUUUCAAAUAGGGACACUAAAAAAAAUGAUUCCUUUUAAAAGUUGCUGGGUUUUUAGUUUCUCUAUGUGCCUAACCUGCUCCACUGCACAUCUCCUAACAACAUGUGUAGGCAGGAUGUACAAACCGUGUGUCAAACUCCCUGAGCCAGGACCGCUGCUGGUAUUCCCUUUAGGAGAAAGCAGAAACAUUGUGGUGUGCGUUGCUCUGGGAUUUCUUUAAGUCGUUAGCACAUAAAGUGUAGCAAAUGUUCCAUAGGGUCCCCAGGGAGGAAACGCAAGGGGAGUAGCUGGGUCCUCUGGCUUCUUCAAAACGCAAGCAUGUCUCUCCAUAGCUCUUGCUAGGCUAGGCGGUAGCAGCUGUGCAAGGAAAUAGUCACACUGUAGGUUUUUUCCAAAAUCCAGUAGCUAUAUUUCCUUCUCUUUUUCUUUUUUUUUUUUUUUGGUACUUUAUGAGCAUCUCUUGCAGCUUUUUCCCUGGAUAUCCCAAUUAACUUCAUCCUAUGCAUCCCAACCUCGGGAACAAAGUACCAGUCGUACUGCAAAUCAGUCCUGUAGGACACAGACACCACCUGACCAGGUGCCUGUGCCAUGUAUGUGGCAGAGCUCAGCUGCAAGGAAUCUCCUAGCCUCACUGAAGAUGCUGCUCUCAGCUCGGGUGCCCUCCCUUUUUGCCAAAUCUCAGCAUAAGCUCUCUUACUGCCUGUAAGACUUGCUGCUCACAGACAGGAGAUGGGCUGAAUUACUAAAUAACACCUCCAGCUUAGUUUUAUUUAGUGUAUAUCUAGUUUAUUUAUUUGAAACAAGGUCAGGAGCGGCUUCCUGUCUCCUUAACAUUUGGAACUGUGGAUUUUUAUUAUGAUCCUUUUUCAGACCAGGAAGUCUACAGCUUUGCUUGUUGUAAACUGAAACUCCAAAACACACACACACAAAAGGGUUUGGCUUAAUAAAUUUGGGGGUGGUUUUACCAUUUUUAAAUGUAUUUAUUUGGGAACUGUAUGUGCCUGAGUUGCAAAACAAAAAGCCAUUUCAAGCCAGAUGUUUUUUUUUUUUAUUCUGAAACUUGUCAAAACAAGCCAUAUUGAUAAUUAUGACCAAUUUUUUUCAAAUUGAGAAAUGUAUCAGGAACAGCCCUUUCCCACAAAACUUUUCAUUUUCAAGAAAUAAAAUGAAAAAAUCAAUCACAGUUUUUCUCACAGUUGGAACUGGUGGCAGUGGAUUCUAACAGAAUAGCAAUUUGUAAGGCAUUCCAACCAGCUCUACUUAAAAUAGUAUCCAGCAUCCAAUUUCUUGGGGGCAGUAGGCUGAGCAGCUUUGUGGUGAAAGCAAAUUGGAGCGUUUCCUAUUUUACCAUGGCUGUUUCAGUCCGGCAGAGCACACCUCGGGAACUGCUUGUGCAUGUUCCUGACUGGCGGUUUGUUGCUGAGGUGUUGCCGUCUGGAAGCAUCACUUUUUCUUUAGGACCUCACUCAGUGCUGGAUGCCCCCAGCCAUCCUUCUAACCAAGCUCUGUUUUCUUUUCCAAACCAAGAUGAAUCCAACUUCUUCUAGCUUCCAGUACAUUCAGACAUCACAGUUAUGGGAAGCCUUCAAAUCCAGAGAUAUUCCCACAUGUUCACAGGAGUUUAAAUUGGAAGAAAUUAAAUGCAUUGGUGCAGGGA
This is a non-coding RNA of Struthio camelus australis, 9033 nucleotides long. Lineage: Eukaryota; Metazoa; Chordata; Aves; Struthioniformes; Struthionidae. The record is from RefSeq and is a predicted model, not a curated record.